RNAcentral lists this long non-coding RNA (211 nucleotides) under Lathyrus oleraceus (garden pea). Its description in RNAcentral is "Pisum sativum (pea) long non-coding RNA (PSAT_LNC033669)". The record is from RNAcentral. Lineage: Eukaryota; Viridiplantae; Streptophyta; Magnoliopsida; Fabales; Fabaceae.
GUUCUGGCGUCUGGUGUGGUGGCCUAGGGUUUCAUCCAAACGAUGCGUUUCGUGUUGUGUCUGGACUCUUGGUCGAGCGGGUUCGAAUCCUGGCUUGCGCGUUUUGUGCAUUUUAUUUGAAUUUUCAUUUGGUCCAAGCACGCUCAUGUUCGAUUCCUGCUAGCGUGUGUUUUCUGAUUUAUUAUUUGAACGCUCCUAUUGACCUGACAGC